Molecule: ribosomal RNA, 1346 nt
Filed under: uncultured bacterium
Lineage: Bacteria
Description: partial 16S ribosomal RNA
Rfam family: Bacterial small subunit ribosomal RNA
Source: RNAcentral
GACGAACGCUGGCGGCGUGCUUAACACAUGCAAGUCGAACGGAAAGGCCCUGCUUUUGUGGGGUGCUCGAGUGGCGAACGGGUGAGUAACACGUGAGUAACCUGCCCUUGACUUUGGGAUAACUUCAGGAAACUGGGGCUAAUACCGGAUAGGAGCUCCUGCUGCAUGGUGGGGGUUGGAAAGUUUCGGCGGUUGGGGAUGGACUCGCGGCUUAUCAGCUUGUUGGUGGGGUAGUGGCUUACCAAGGCUUUGACGGGUAGCCGGCCUGAGAGGGUGACCGGCCACAUUGGGACUGAGAUACGGCCCAGACUCCUACGGGAGGCAGCAGUGGGGAAUAUUGCACAAUGGGCGGAAGCCUGAUGCAGCAACGCCGCGUGCGGGAUGACGGCCUUCGGGUUGUAAACCGCUUUCGCCUGUGACGAAGCGUGAGUGACGGUAAUGGGUAAAGAAGCACCGGCUAACUACGUGCCAGCAGCCGCGGUGAUACGUAGGGUGCGAGCGUUGUCCGGAUUUAUUGGGCGUAAAGGGCUCGUAGGUGGUUGAUCGCGUCGGAAGUGUAAUCUUGGGGCUUAACCCUGAGCGUGCUUUCGAUACGGGUUGACUUGAGGAAGGUAGGGGAGAAUGGAAUUCCUGGUGGAGCGGUGGAAUGCGCAGAUAUCAGGAGGAACACCAGUGGCGAAGGCGGUUCUCUGGGCCUUUCCUGACGCUGAGGAGCGAAAGCGUGGGGAGCGAACAGGCUUAGAUACCCUGGUAGUCCACGCUGUAAACGGUGGGUACUAGGUGUGGGGUCCAUUCCACGGGUUCCGUGCCGUAGCUAACGCUUUAAGUACCCCGCCUGGGGAGUACGGCCGCAAGGCUAAAACUCAAAGGAAUUGACGGGGCCCCGCACAAGCGGCGGAGCAUGCGGAUUAAUUCGAUGCAACGCGUAGAACCUUACCUGGGUUUGACAUGGGUCGGGAGUGCUCAGAGAUGGGUGUGCCUCUUUUGGGGUCGGUUCACAGGUGGUGCAUGGCUGUCGUCAGCUCGUGUCGUGAGAUGUUGGGUUAAGUCCCGCAACGAGCGCAACCCUUGUUCACUGUUGCCAGCACGUUAUGGUGGGGACUCAGUGGAGACCGCCGGGGUCAACUCGGAGGAAGGUGGGGAUGACGUCAAGUCAUCAUGCCCCUUAUGUCCAGGGCUUCACGCAUGCUACAAUGGCUGGUACAGAGAGCGGCGAGUCUGUGAGGGUGAGCGAAUCUCGGAAAGCCGGUCUCAGUUCGGAUUGGGGUCUGCAACUCGACCUCAUGAAGUCGGAGUCGCUAGUAAUCGCAGAUCAGCAACGCUGCGGUGAAUACGUUCCCGGGGCU